GGACAACUGUAGCUUUGGAGCAAGAAGUGACAGAGAACAAAAUCUCAGGGGACAGAGGCAAAUGCGUGUGGUUAGAUCACCAGGGAGUCCGAGUAGCACACACGAGAACAAUGAGGCGUGAAAGCAGCUCUUCUCACACACACAACACAGGAUCUGUAGGAUUCUGCCCGGAAACAGAGCACUCUGAUGUUCCUUAACUCUCCACCUGUGCCUGGGGUUAUCCCCAUGGCAGAGACAGAGGAGGAAGCCUCAGACAGCAGAAAGCUCACCCCCAGGUACCAGCUCAAGUCAGAAGCAGAAACCAGACCCCCAUCAGAUCUUGACGACCCCCGCAGGCCCCUUAAUGACCAUUUUCCCAACCCCAUGAGGUGACACGUUCUUUCCACAUAGAAAUGAGAAGAAACAAGUGAACCACCCUGAACACGAGAAUGUCACCAACUCUGAGUCACUUUCACUUUUCAAUAAAAGCAACUGCCA
Lutra lutra (Eurasian river otter) is the source of this 477-nucleotide long non-coding RNA. RefSeq lists it as uncharacterized. The transcript has 3 exons. The record is from RefSeq and is a predicted model, not a curated record. Lineage: Eukaryota; Metazoa; Chordata; Mammalia; Carnivora; Mustelidae.